RNAcentral lists this ribosomal RNA (482 nucleotides) under uncultured bacterium. RNAcentral's name for it is "partial 16S ribosomal RNA". It matches the Rfam family "Bacterial small subunit ribosomal RNA", at positions 30 to 507 of the family's 1533-position model. The record is from RNAcentral.
AUUGAACGCUGGCGGCAUGCUUUACACAUGCAAGUCGAACGGUAACAGGCCGCCAGGUGCUGCCGAGUGGCGAACGGGUGAGUAAUGCAUCGGAACGUGCCCAGUCUUGGGGGAUAACUACUCGAAAGAGUAGCUAAUACCGCAUACGAUCUAUGGAUGACAGCGGGGGACCGUAAGGCCUCGCGCGAUUGGAGCGGCCGAUGUCAGAUUAGGUAGUUGGUGGGGUAAAGGCUCACCAAGCCAACGAUCUGUAGCUGGUCUGAGAGGACGACCAGCCACACUGGGAAUGAGACACGGCCCAGACUCAUACGGGAGGCAGCAGUGGGGAAUUUUGGACAAUGGGCGCAAGCCUGAUCCAGCAAUGCCGCGUGCAGGAAGAAGGCCUUCGGGUUGUAAACUGCUUUUGUACGGAACGAAACGGCUCUGGUUAAUACCCGGGGCUAAUGACGGUACCGUAAGAAUAAGCACCGGCUAACUACGUG